GCCGGGCGCGGUGGCUCACGCCUGUAAUCCCAGCACUUUGGGAGGCCGAGGCGGGAGAAUCGCUUGAGCUCAGGAGUUUUGAGACCACCAGCCUGGGCAACAUGGCGAAACCCCGUCUCUA
This is an unclassified non-coding RNA of Pongo abelii (Sumatran orangutan), 121 nucleotides long. It matches the Rfam family "Metazoan signal recognition particle RNA". From Rfam's summary of the family: The signal recognition particle (SRP) is a universally conserved ribonucleoprotein. It is involved in the co-translational targeting of proteins to membranes. The eukaryotic SRP consists of a 300-nucleotide 7S RNA and six proteins: SRPs 72, 68, 54, 19, 14, and 9. The record is from Ensembl. Lineage: Eukaryota; Metazoa; Chordata; Mammalia; Primates; Hominidae.